This is a non-coding RNA of Myotis davidii, 73 nucleotides long. Lineage: Eukaryota; Metazoa; Chordata; Mammalia; Chiroptera; Vespertilionidae. The record is from Rfam.
GGUGAUUCUUGGGUGAUGCACCCCAAAAUCGGGCUGCCUCCUUUCUGGUUCUGGUUGUGUCACCUGAACAGCA